Molecule: ribosomal RNA, 486 nt
Filed under: uncultured bacterium
Lineage: Bacteria
Description: bacterial SSU rRNA
Rfam family: Bacterial small subunit ribosomal RNA
Source: RNAcentral
GAUGAACGCUAGCGGCAGGCUUAACACAUGCAAGUCGAGGGGCAACACGGGUAGCAAUACCUGGUGGCGACCGGCGCAAGGGUGCGUAACGCGUGAGCAACAUGCCCUAUACAGGGGGAUAAUCCAGGGAAACUUGGUCUAAUAUCCCAUAGUAUUUAGAGGUGGCAUCACCACUAAAUUAAAGCUUCGGUGGUAUAGGAUUGGCUCGCGUGACAUUAGCUGGAUGGUGGGGUAACGGCUCACCAUGGCGAUGAUGUCUAGGGGUUCUGAGAGGAAGACCCCCCCAACUGGGACUGAGACACGGCCCAGACUCCUACGGGAGGCAGCAGUGAGGAAUAUUGGACAAUGGAUGGAAAUCUGAUCCAGCCAUGCCGCGUGCAGGAAGACGGCCCUAUGGGUUGUAAAACUGCUUUUAUAAUGGGAGCAAAUAAGGUUUACGCGUAGACCGAUGAGAGUACCAUAUGAAUAAAGCAUCGGCUAACUCCG